GCAAGUCGGACGGGAUUGAGGAGCUUGCUCUUCAUGAGAGUGGCGCACGGGUGCGUAACACGUAUGUAACCUACCCAUAUCAGGGGGAUAGCCUCUCGAAAGAGAGAUUAAGCCCGCAUAAAAUCACACUGUGGCAUCACAGAAUGAUCAAAUAUUUAUAGGAUAUGGAUGGGCAUGCGGAACAUUAGCUAGUUGGCGAGGUAACGGCUCACCAAGGCUACGAUGUUUAGGGGAUCUGAGAGGAUGACCCCCCACACUGGUACUGAGACACGGACCAGACUCCUACGGGAGGCAGCAGUAAGGAAUAUUGGUCAAUGGACGGAAGUCUGAACCAGCCAUGCCGCGUGCAGGAAGACGGCCCUACGGGUUGUAAACUGCUUUUGUACCGGAAUAAACCCCCGAUCGUGAUCGGGGCUGAAUGUACGGUAAGAAUAAGGAUCGGCUAACUCCGUGCCAGCAGCCGCGGUAAUACGGAGGAUCCGAGCGUUAUCCGGAUUUAUUGGGUUUAAAGGGUGCGUAGGCGGCCUAUUAAGUCAGGGGUGAAAGACGGUAGCUUAACUAUCGCAGUGCCUUUGAUACUGAUAGGCUUGAAUGUACUUGAGGUAGGCGGAAUGUGACAAGUAGCGGUGAAAUGCAUAGAUAUGUCACAGAACACCAAUUGCGAAGGCAGCUUACUAAAGUAUGAUUGACGCUGAGGCACGAAAGCGUGGGGAUCA
RNAcentral lists this ribosomal RNA (716 nucleotides) under uncultured Bacteroidota bacterium. Its description in RNAcentral is "bacterial SSU rRNA". It matches the Rfam family "Bacterial small subunit ribosomal RNA", at positions 57 to 770 of the family's 1533-position model. Lineage: Bacteria; Pseudomonadati; Bacteroidota. The record is from RNAcentral.